This 132-nucleotide small RNA is filed under the name Rhizobium sp. BK602. RNAcentral's name for it is "sRNA ar35". It matches the Rfam family "Alphaproteobacterial sRNA ar35". Lineage: Bacteria; Pseudomonadati; Pseudomonadota; Alphaproteobacteria; Hyphomicrobiales; Rhizobiaceae. The record is from RNAcentral.
AGUGGCGUUGACCCCGUGUUAACCUUUCAUGGUCACUCUGGCUGCGGUUCCGCCUUCCCUUUGACCACGGAUGUACUGGCACUGGCGUGAGGAUGGAUGACGAAAGGCCGGAUUACUCCGGCCUUUUUGUUU